AAGGUGUUAGGUGUUCCAGGUCAUCGGUGUGGUCGUUCAUGAUUCGAGGAGGGGCUUGCCUCUGAUCUUAACUGCGCUUGAGGUUUAGAGCAAUUCGAUUCGAUUGACGUUGGAGGUGACUCAACUUUUGGGUUAUAUAUGAACGAAACUGAAGGGAUCAACCUUGCGCCUCCUAUUAUCCAUUUAACACCUAUCAGACAUCGGAUAUGGAAAGCCUAUUGACCACAAGGAUGAAAUCUAGAAAGCUCCUGCUUUUGUUGAGAACAACAGAUCCUUCUUGCAUGAAUCAAGGAUCAGCAUAGUGCAUCAAGUUAGCAUAUUGAUGGAUAGUGACGCUUCCUAUAAGGUACUCUCUAUAAUUCAUACUUAGAAUUAAGCAGCAUGAUAAUUCUUUUCUGAUUAUUCUU
Long non-coding RNA from Neltuma alba, 407 nucleotides. RefSeq lists it as uncharacterized. The transcript is spliced from 4 exons. NCBI's taxonomy places the organism in Eukaryota, Viridiplantae, Streptophyta, Magnoliopsida, Fabales, Fabaceae. The record is from RefSeq and is a predicted model, not a curated record.